RNAcentral lists this long non-coding RNA (255 nucleotides) under Homo sapiens (human). RNAcentral's name for it is "long non-coding RNA NONHSAT131346". Lineage: Eukaryota; Metazoa; Chordata; Mammalia; Primates; Hominidae. The record is from RNAcentral.
GGCUGCAUAAAGGGAGUAAACCAAAGUACAUUUGACCACAAGAUGACUUUUUAAAAGCCAGAACUAUGGUAGCAUGAAGCCAACUGAGAUCCAGGUAAAGGCUCUGACACUUUCUCGGGGACACACUGCUAAGGGCUCCACAGAAGUCUCCAAUCUUUAAAUCUUCAGUCUAUGAAAGCACAGAUUCCUGAAAGGAUGGCCUCAAAUGACCAGGACUAGGAGCUCUCUAUAUCCCUGCUCCUGAAAAACAAGCUA